Long non-coding RNA from Pleuronectes platessa (European plaice), 263 nucleotides. RefSeq lists it as uncharacterized. The record is from RefSeq and is a predicted model, not a curated record. Lineage: Eukaryota; Metazoa; Chordata; Actinopteri; Pleuronectiformes; Pleuronectidae. The transcript has 3 exons.
GCACUCCGCCCGGUGUGGAGGAGUCGAGGCGCACAGUCCCUGAAUUAAGCCUGAUUCCCGCACACAAUGACGCAGUCACUGCACAUUACGCCGAGACUCGCUGAAAGUCCACAUUUGCAGUGCGGGCUAACGACGCCAUUGUACCUGCCUGUACUAUGACUUACUAAGACCCACUAUGAGCCAGUAUGAAGGAGCUUCCAGUUCAUCCAUACGGACCUUGCGUCAGCAUUGAGGAUUUGAGGAGUCGGCAGAGAAGAAAGAGG